This 496-nucleotide ribosomal RNA is filed under the name uncultured bacterium. RNAcentral describes it as "partial 16S ribosomal RNA". It matches the Rfam family "Bacterial small subunit ribosomal RNA", at positions 28 to 506 of the family's 1533-position model. The record is from RNAcentral.
GAUGAACGCUGGCGGCGUGCCUAAUACAUGCAAGUCGAGCGAACAGACGAGGAUCUUGCUCCUCUGACGUUAGCGGCGGACGGGUGAGUAACACGUGGAUAACCUACCUAUAAGACUGGGAUAACUUCGGGAAACCGGAGCUAAUACCGGAUCAUAUAUUGAACCGCAUGGUUCAAUAGUGAAAGACGGUUUUGCUGUCACUUAUAGAUGGAUCCGCGCCGCAUUAGCUAGUUGGUAAGGUAACGGCUUACCAAGGCAACGAUGCGUAGCCGACCUGAGAGGGGGAUAGGCCAAACUGGAACUGGGACACGGUCCAGACUCCUACGGGAGGCAGCAGGAGGGAAUCUUCAGCAAUGGGCGAAAGCUUGACGGAGCAACGCCGCGGGAGUGAUGAAGGUCUUCGGAUCGUAAAACGCUGUUAUUAGGGAAGAACAAAUGUGUAAGUAACCAUGCACGUCUUGACGGUACCUAAGCAGAAAGCCACGGCAAACUACGU